AAAAGUCCUUUGAUUCAUAGGAGGAAACCUCUCCUUGUUGAGGAUGCAGACAGAUCCAUCCCACUGCCGAGCUCUGGCUACCCUUUCCAGGACAGGAUUGUACUCCUGCGACACCAGUCUCCAGAGGCCUGGUGAUAUUCAAGGUCUUCAUCCCUCUCGGGCACGCCUAACUAACACUCACCUCUUGGAUGAGAUGAUGUCCUCGUGCUGCCCUUCUGCCGACCCUUCCCUGCAAUCGGCCCUGACCUCUCAGAAUGCAGCUUGCCCCAGACUGAUAUAGCUCAUCCCUCAUUGGGUGCAUCUGUGCCCAGCUACCCUGGUUCUGAUGAAGUAAAUAGGACACAUAUGUCACCGUGGAGCCUCAUGAGUCUCUUUAGAUAAAGAUAAAUUUGGAAAAUUGCAAAACUCUCCAGAGACAAUACCUUCCUAAUGAUUUCUGCCUUCUUUGACACCUCAUUGCACUGAUUAAUGGUCAUUCAAAUUGAUCACCUGGCAUAGCUCACUGUCAAAAUAAAAAAGGACAUAUUUUAAAAAGUCAG
RNAcentral lists this long non-coding RNA (539 nucleotides) under Homo sapiens (human). RNAcentral's name for it is "HSALNT0172338". The record is from RNAcentral. Lineage: Eukaryota; Metazoa; Chordata; Mammalia; Primates; Hominidae.